CCCGCACAAGCGGUGGAUGAUGUGGAUUAAUUCGAUGCAACGCGAAGAACCUUACCUACCCUUGACAUGUCCGGAACUUGCCAGAGAUGGCUUGGUGCCCGAAAGGGAAUCGGAACACAGGUGCUGCAUGGCUGUCGUCAGCUCGUGUCGUGAGAUGUUGGGUUAAGUCCCGCAACGAGCGCAACCCUUAUCAUUAGUUGCUACGCAAGGGCACUCUAAUGAGACUGCCGGUGACAAACCGGAGGAAGGUGGGGAUGACGUCAAGUCCUCAUGGCCCUUAUGGGUAGGGCUUCACACGUCAUACAAUGGUCGGUACAGAGGGUUGCCAAGCCGCGAGGCGGAGCCAAUCCCAGAAAGCCGAUCGUAGUCCGGAUUGUUCUCUGCAACUCGAGAGCAUGAAGUCGGAAUCGCUAGUAAUCGCGGAUCAGCAUGUCGCGGUGAAUACGUUCCCGGGUCUU
This 458-nucleotide ribosomal RNA is filed under the name uncultured Thiobacillus sp. Its description in RNAcentral is "bacterial SSU rRNA". It matches the Rfam family "Bacterial small subunit ribosomal RNA", at positions 920 to 1382 of the family's 1533-position model. The record is from RNAcentral. Lineage: Bacteria; Pseudomonadati; Pseudomonadota; Betaproteobacteria; Nitrosomonadales; Thiobacillaceae.